GAGAAAAAAAUCUAUUUUAGAAACUUUUGAACUUAAUCCUAGAAUGCAAAAUGUUACACACACACACACACAUCAAACAUAUAAAUGUAAACGUUGCAUCUCAGCAAAUGUUUGCGUUAGGAUUACUUUUAUUUAAUUUAUUCAAUUUCCAACUUAAAUACGUGUUAUCUUCCUUUUGCUAGAUCAACUCUAUCUAAUUUUUCUGCACUUCGUUUGCGUUCUAUUCUUUGCGCGUCCAAUACGGGCGCCAUUGUAUACUCGGAUUUCUUUUUCUUUCGCGAUUGUAAGACAAUUACGUGAAGUUUCCAGAAUUCACGGCACGAUCGGCGGUAUUCCGAUGUAUGUACAUUGAAAACGCUCGCACAAUUUCCGGUCAAUGAAAUUCCAACCUUACGCAAGGAGAUCCCGCCGAGCAACGACGGACAAUAGGAAUUGAGCGGCGCGGGGUCAGAAGGGACGCUGAGGCAGGGAAAAAAAUCUGCGCUGCGAUUCAUUGACCGCCCCAACGAACCGUGAUAGCAUAUAUCGCAGUAUUACCCGCUUACGCGUCCAAUAUAAUUAUUUCAAAUCGAUGGAAUAAUUAUCGUGAGCGCAGCGCGGAGAACAGACGUGCAGGUAGCCGGCAAUAACGCAAUUAAAUCGCAGCCGUGUUAUCCGAUAUUUUGAACGGACACCGCUCAUUUCAUCGAUAUCGCGAUAGAUACUGCUAGAUAACAAGCUAAAGAAAAAGGGUCGAUACGCGCGAUCGAAUCGAAUCAAAUCGAUUCGGAUCGAAUCGAAGCCGCACCAGCUGAUUACAAUGGAAAAUAUAAUCACACCGCGCCGCUCGGUAUAAUCUACGGCAUUUAUGUGAUAUUAUGGUUUAACGCGAUCGUGUAAAAUAUACACGGGCGUUUUGCGCGAAUUGACAGACCGUUCAUAAGACACGAGCGAUUGAAUUAAGAUGCAGCAGUCUUUCUCUCACACAAACUUCUUAAAUUCGAAAUAGACGCUCGCGCGAUAAAAAGAUACAUCGCGCACGAUGUGGAGCAAUAUAUAGCGUGCGCGAAAUAAAUUUGCAAAAUAAUAGAAAUCAAAGAAAGCGAAAAUUAGAUGAAACCAAAGGGGAAUAAAGAGAAAUAUUCGCAGUUGAUUUUUGCCAUUCCCUGUUUCGCAGUAAUUCUGAAAUGAGAUUUUACUAGUGCGCGUUCAGCGAUUCCCGUUUGACAUUAACUGCAAUUAUAUGCACGCGUAAUAUAGUAACUAUAUAUUAAUGGGAACGUAAAAUUUCCCGGUGGCGCAAUAUCGAAUCUCGUUUGACGUAAAUAUAAUGUCAAAAGCUUCCCUGCCAGCGAAAUUACGUAUUUUAUUAACGAAAGUGGCGAUAUACGUUACGAAAUUUGCGAUCCAGUGCGGAAGGAAAGUUAUUAUUAUUAUUAUUAUUAAUUUCACAUACACGUACAUAUGGUUCAGCAGAUGAGUCCUACUAUCCAUAAUGUCAUCAGACUGAUGUUUCGUCACAACGAAACACAUUGUGACGUCGCAAUUACGAUUUAAUAAUAAGAGGACAUUUCCUCGACAAGAUCAGAUUUAACGUACCACAAUUAUGCACCGCGAAACAAUGCAACGUUAAUUACCACGUCGCGUCUCCUGAUAUUCACGACGUAGAGUAAUUCGCGCAAUUCUAACGUGAGACUGAAACGUACGUGUUUUUUCUUCAGAAAAAAAAAAAAAACAUUGCGUGCAUUUUCUCCUCGCUUCGGACACACGUUACGCGACUCGUUCCCGCAACAGAAGAGAAACUUCGUCCCUCUUUCCUGGAUUUCUCUCGCGGACGAGGGAUGCGAGAUGCGACGGCAAUAGAAGACGCGACGAGGAAGAGGACGCGGCGGGACGAGAUACGCGGCCGAGAGAUGCAAUAAGGAAAUGCGUAUCCUUCGUCUUCCCUUUAUGCGCCGGCAGGACCGUUCCCUUAUCCUCCUUCGGGCGGGCGUUUCUUCGCCGGAGAGGCACUAUCCGACGAAGACUCUCGAUUCACGUCGACGUUGGGCGCCGGGUAAUACGGAAUCGAUGUCUGUUUUAUGAAACGUUUUAUCUUGCCGCGCAGCCAGCUUUCCAAUAUUUCGCUCGACUCUCUCGCCUGCCUCGUUCACGACCUUUCCCUUCGAAACUAUCGUUCCCCAUCCUCACCGUUAUUCCCUCUCGCUUCAUCACGUCGGCUCGUUCCUUCCCGUACCGGCCGCGUUCCGCUUCGAUUAUCUUCCCGGGGAAUGAUACAUACUUUUUUAAGCCAGUACCGGUAGCAGAGGUGCACGUUCCCUCCGGUGUGUGCGCCGCCGGUUGUUGAGAUAGAUUUUUUAAAAAUUCAGAGCGCGGACGCGUCUCGGUAUCGCUAUAAUUUUUGAUGCUUCGAUCGAUCAAGCCGAAAAAAAAAAGGACAAAUAUUUUCCGCGUAGCUGCGCGACUGCGCUUUUGACCGCGCUGCCUUAAAAAUAAACGGGUAUGAAUACAGACUGUCGGGAGUUCGCGAGUGAGCGACGGUCGUUUAUUUUUUUUUCCCCCCUCCAACGCCAAUAGAUUUUAUCCGCGACGCGCGAUAUUGAGGGAGAAAAGAGAGAAACCGUGGAAUCAUUUGUAUUUAAGGAAUCUACCUGCGGUUAUUUCAUAUUUGGGUCGAGUAAUUUCGGAGCGCAGUCAAAUUCAUUUCCAAUAUUCCACCCCUAAUCCGCGGUCUCGUGCGCCACCUUCCUUCCUUCACCCUUCCCCUCGCGCCAACGAUACGUCCUCGUAAAAAUGAUAAAUGUCCGGCGGGCAAAGGGUAAAUAACGAUGGCGAAAUGAACGUACGCGUUCGCCGUUUCUGCAUAGAGGGUACAAGAAAAUUACACGUCUCGAAAUAUUUAUUGGCGCAUUAAUUUGGCAACGCGUCUUCAACCCGGACGUGUCCAUUCCGUGACACACGGGAGAAGAGAGGAAGAGAGCAAGAGGGGUAGGAGCGGCAUAAUAAUUCUCGUCGCGUUAUUUAUCCCGUGGCGCGCCCGCGGGCUGAAGUCGCCGGGACGACCCUCUUUUACAGUUUUCUAGAUUACAUGAAUUUCGAGAGCGGCUGUGAGUGCUUUUUAAUAUUUCGCUUCACUUUUAUAUCUGGGCGCGCUCUCGCUCUCUCCCCGUGUGCGUGUACGACACGAUAUCCCUUCACCCCAUCUUCCCCCUUUGCACGCUUUAUCCCUCCCCUCUCUCCCUCCGUCUUCCCGCACGGUCGCGGUCUUUUAUAGCGAAAAUAACACGCACAUACCCUCGGGCCAAAGGGUAAAUAACAAGAGAAUAAAUGCAUGGCACCCGUUUCACAGGUACGCGCAAUAAAAUUCUUUUUCUUCUUUAACUCCCGCCCGCAUACAUAGUUCUAUGUUAAUACCCGGCGUUUCUGCGGAAACCCCUCCCCUCCCCCUUCUCCCGGUGAUAUUCACGGCGUAUCGCGGAUCAACCGGGUGAGAUUAUCUAAAAAUUCGCGCGGCGAUUUUUACAUCCGCGUCUUUUUCAAGUCAAUGAGGUCGUUAUGUUAACAUAGUAAUAAACACCUGUAAUAUUCAUGAGAGCCUUGUUUAUAUAUUCGUACGCAUGUAUAUUGCCGUUUUUAAUAAAGCAGGCUUAUGUUUAGUUUCGCGAAAUUUAAGCGAAGGGGUUCUUUAUCUCACGCCGUCUAAUAUUACCCGGAUAUUCAUUUGCACAGAUAAAGCUGCAUGUAGCUGAAAAGAACGGUUUUGCCGAAGUAUAUCAAAAAGUUUAUAUAGCCGGGGAUAUAAAUCUGAAAAUAAUUAUGUAGCACGCUGUAAUGAAGCUGGUGGAAUGUCAAAACUUUGCAACAUUGCCCAUCAUCCUGGAAAAUCCCUCAUAAUUAUUUUGAUGAUCCAACAAAAUUAAAAUAUUUUCAUAUCUGUAAUUUUCCUUUGAAUACUUUAUUAGUAAAAACCGUUCUUUUGGUGUAAAUACGUUUUCUUUCAAAAUAAAAGGAAAUUGUAGAGAUGGCCGAAGUUACUUUAAACACAAAUUUCAACAAACAAAACGAUCACAGAAAUCUUUUAAGAAUGGAUUCGAUAUCGUUCGGGAAAAAAUGCUAAUAUAUAGCUGCGUACAUAUAACUGUGUUAUAACCAAUUUCAUUUUUAAGAAAUAAAUUCACGAUGUAAUUAGCAGAAUUUUAUUAAAAAAUACUACAAAAAGUCAACAUAAUUCAAUAUAUAAUACACUAAAAUAAAAUAUUUAUUCUUUUCCAGCUUUAAUUCGAUUCGUGGAUUUCAGAAAAUCUCGAAAAUAUUAAAUAAAACGUUUAUUAAUCGCGAUUUAUCGGUGAUAUAGUAAAGAAUAUACUUAUUAAAUUAUAAAGUGCACAUAAAGUUAUUGUAAGAAAUGCAACGAAACAUCUUUCAUUGCUAAUAUAGUAAUAUAAUGCAACAGAAAUCGUCGGGAGACGAUCUUUCGGCGGUAAGAGCCAAAUUAAAUUAAUAUUGCACAAUCCCGCGUCCUAACGACACUGUAUAUCGAGCCGUAAACCUCAAAAACAAUCUCGAUUUUAUUUCUUCGAUAUACCGGCGCAAUCUUCGACAUAUGGUCGUCGAGCCAUCAAUCGCGCAGUAAUAUAUCGAUAGUAUCGAGUUUAAAGACAACGGUUAGGUUAAUUGACCGCGGCAGCGCGCGAGUCGAACGACGAGACGAGACGAGCCGAGGCGGGGAGGGAAGGGGGGGGGGAGGAAGAGAGCAUUUCGUCGCGGGUGAGAUUUACUCGUCUACAGGCGAGGUAUUCAAUUCGUCGCUUAAUCAAUCAAUGCAUUACUGCAUUUAUGCGUAAUAAAUGCGACUGCCCGCCGACGAAUCGAAAAGCUCGUCUUUUUUCGAUCACCUGAAGAUCCGAGAUUUCGAGUAGGGAGAGAGAGAGAGAGAGAGAGAGAGAGAGGGGGGGGGGGAGAUCGAUCAGGCUAAACAACUCGGGCAACUAAUCAACGUCAUCGAUCUAAUUCUCUGUCCUCGUGCCAAUUUCGAACGUCAUAAAUGCAAGAUACCACUUGGCAGUUGGACAAGGAAUCGCCGUCAUAUCGCGCCGUUCGCGUUUCUCGCGUCGCGCGUCACGGUCGUUUCCGCGCGGAAAGGUAAAUAACAACCGAAUGAAAUGUAUACAUACCACCGUCACCGCCGUCACCGCCGUCGCCGCCGCCGCCGCGUCGUCGCCGCCGUCGCUGCAGCAUCAGCCGGGGAUCCGCGACCGCGAGCAAACCGCAAGGCGAAACCGCGCAAAACACACACCGGCCCGGCCGAACGCGACGUUGCGUCGGGUCUCCCACACCUUAACGCGCGGCGCCCUCCGCGCCUCGCACCCAGCGACUCGGCUCGCUCGCGCGUCACGUGACGCUGCGCGGAGGCGCGAAGGUGUCCAUAAUGGCGGUGCGCGAGUGUACGUUGUAUCGGAGAUCACCGGACUGCUACGCACUCGUGCGUGUGCGUGCGUGCGUGCGUGCGCUGAUCGUCGUUGCACGUUACCGUCGUAAGUAGCGCACGUCGUGUAAGAAGCGGGGUAAGAGUAGUCGUCGAGAAUCGUUGUAAUCGAGAGUGUCGAGGCCGGUCGUCGUCCCGACUCGCUCCGGCGCGGCUCAGCGACGAUUUAGACGUCGCGAUAACGCGAGCGGGGUUCAACGCUCGCGCAUUCUGGGAGCGUUAACGGCGGCGGGAACGAUGUCGUUCGCGAGUCGGUUGGUUGCAGCGGGGGAAGCGGAGCGAAGAGUCGUUUUACCUCCGUGCAAGGUGAGGCUCGCAGAGCAACGUUGUAACUUCGAACAACGAGAGGACAAGGAAUUCUUCGCCUUAUAUCCCGCACGACGCAAGACACCCAGGAGAUUACAAGUAAAUGCGAAAACUCUGGGAAUUCUGUAAUACUUUUAAUAAACACGGCCAUGUGCGCUGCACUUUCUUCGCCUUCUUUCAGCAACUCUCAGCCAGUCGAAAGAGUCAUGACACGGUUUAACGGAGAAUUAUAAAAAUUUCUGAGACACUGUUGGACUCCCCGGAGAGAUUUUAUUGCGUGCUUGAAUCACGCUUGUAAUUCUCUUUGACAAAUUAUCUUUAAUCUUUCCACGCGUUAUUAAAAGCAAACAAUUGUUAUAAGUAUUAUAUUUCAUCGACGUGUUGGCUAUUAACAAUAUUAGGCGCAUUCAUUUCUCAACACAACAAUAUUUGCAGUGCCGACGCAUACGCAUAUUUCCCUAUGCAUGUGGGUGUAUAUUUAUACCAAUUUCAAGUCAAAGAGGCGCCGCGUUUUCGCCUGCCGCUUUGGCAGAGAGGCGGAGAGAGUGCUCGGCCCGCAAAAAGUAAUAUUUACAAUGUAGAGCAAUAAACUUUUGGCUUUAUUCGGCCGGUACCGAAAAA
This 6391-nucleotide long non-coding RNA is filed under the name Monomorium pharaonis (pharaoh ant). Its description in RNAcentral is "uncharacterized LOC105829580". The record is from RNAcentral. Lineage: Eukaryota; Metazoa; Arthropoda; Insecta; Hymenoptera; Formicidae.